UCAAGCCCGUCGGAGCCAUAUUAUUGUGCACUUGAGGUAGACACUGACCAGAAGCCUUCUCUCUGGGCAGAGCUCACACUUCUGCACUAUGCCGGGGCUGGUGCCGGGAGCCGGAGAGGGACGUGAACGCGGGUCCCGAGGAAGAAGCGGGGCUCGGGGCCCCGCAGGGUUCCGACGGGGGUGCAGCUGCACUACGCGGCCGUUCCGGGGCGACAAGACGGCGCAGGGCCGCCCUUACCCCGGCCAGGUCCCGCGCCGCCGCCUCUUCUCCAGCGCUUGGAUACUUAUGGGUCCGGCAGGUCCCGCGGACUCAUUCAGAAUGAAGAAAGAAUCUGAAAGCCAUCAUAUGAAAAAAAACUAUUGACUGUUCUCUCUCAUUCAUACAACUGCCACCUAUGGGUCCACUGCACAGAAAAACGAGUAGUCCUUUGUGAUUCUCGAACAGUGGUUCUCAACUAGGAGUGGUUUCGUCCCCUUUCCCCCCAUGGAACAUCUGACAAUGUCUGGAGACAUUUUUGAACAUCAUGUUGCUACUGGCAUUCAACGAAUGAAGGCCGGAGAUGCUGUUAAACAUCUUAAAGCAAAGGACAGCCCCACAACAAAGAAUUUUCCAUCCCAAAAUGUUAGUAGUGCUGCUGUUG
This is a long non-coding RNA of Choloepus didactylus (southern two-toed sloth), 641 nucleotides long. RefSeq lists it as uncharacterized. The record is from RefSeq and is a predicted model, not a curated record. NCBI's taxonomy places the organism in Eukaryota, Metazoa, Chordata, Mammalia, Pilosa, Megalonychidae. The transcript has 3 exons.